This 496-nucleotide ribosomal RNA is filed under the name uncultured bacterium. RNAcentral describes it as "partial 16S ribosomal RNA". It matches the Rfam family "Bacterial small subunit ribosomal RNA", at positions 28 to 506 of the family's 1533-position model. The record is from RNAcentral.
GAUGAACGCUGGCGGCGUGCCUAAUACAUGCAAGUCGAGCGAACAGAUAAGGAGCUUGCUCCUUUGAAGUUAGCGGCGGACGGGUGAGUAACACGUGGGUAACCUACCUAUAAGACUGGGAUAACUUCGGGAAACCGGAGCUAAUACCGGAUAACAUUUAGAACCGCAUGGUUCUAAAGUGAAAGAUGGUUUUGCUAUCACUUAUAGAUGGACCCGCGCCGUAUUAGCUAGUUGGUAAGGUAACGGCUUAACAAGGCGACGAUCCGUAGCCGACCUGAAAGGGGGAUCGGCCCCACUGGAGGUGAGACACGGUCCAGACUCCUACGGGAGGCAGCAGUAGGGAAUCUUCCGCAAUGGGCGAAAGCCUGACGGAGCAACGCCGCGUGAGUGAUGAAGGGUUUCGGCUCGUAAAACUCUGUUAUGAGGGAAGAACAAAUGUGUAAGUAACUGUGCACAUCUUGAGGGUACCUAAUCAGAAAACCACGGCUAACUACUU